This 538-nucleotide ribosomal RNA is filed under the name Rhodotorula glutinis. Its description in RNAcentral is "eukaryotic LSU rRNA". It matches the Rfam family "Eukaryotic large subunit ribosomal RNA", at positions 104 to 655 of the family's 3401-position model. Lineage: Eukaryota; Fungi; Basidiomycota; Microbotryomycetes; Sporidiobolales; Sporidiobolaceae. The record is from RNAcentral.
GAGCUCAAAUUUAUAAUCUGGCACCUUCGGUGUCCGAGUUGUAAUCUCUAGAAGUGUUUUCCGCGUUGGACCGCACACAAGUCUGUUGGAAUACAGCGGCAUAGUGGUGAAACCCCCGUAUAUGGUGCGGACGCCCAGCGCUUUGUGAUACACUUUCAAUGAGUCGAGUUGUUUGGGAAUGCAGCUCAAAUUGGGUGGUAAAUUCCAUCUAAAGCUAAAUAUUGGCGAGAGACCGAUAGCGAACAAGUACCGUGAGGGAAAGAUGAAAAGCACUUUGGAAAGAGAGUUAACAGUACGUGAAAUUGUUGGAAGGGAAACGCUUGAAGUCAGACUUGCUUGCCGGAGCUUGCUUCGGUUUGCAGGCCAGCAUCAGUUUUCCGGGGUGGAUAAUAACGGUUUGAAGGUAGCAGUCUCGGCUGUGUUAUAGCUUUCCGUUGGAUACAUCCUGGGGGACUGAGGAACGCAGCGUGCUUUUUGCGAAAGACUCGUCUUUUUCACGCUUAGGAUGCUGGUGGAAUGGCUUUAAACGACCCGUCUU